This 254-nucleotide ribosomal RNA is filed under the name uncultured bacterium. Its description in RNAcentral is "partial 16S ribosomal RNA". It matches the Rfam family "Bacterial small subunit ribosomal RNA", at positions 524 to 776 of the family's 1533-position model. The record is from RNAcentral.
UACGGGGGGAGCAAGCGUUGUUCGGAUUUACUGGGCGUAAAGGGCGCGUAGGCGGUCAGCACAAGUCAGUUGUGAAAGCUCCGGGCUUAACCCGGAAAGGUCAACUGAUACUGUGCGACUAGAGUGCGGAAGGGGCAACUGGAAUUCUCGGUGUAGCGGUGAAAUGCGUAGAUAUCGAGAGGAACACCUGCGGCGAAGGCGGGUUGCUGGGCCGACACUGACGCUGAUGCGCGAAAGCCAGGGGAGCGAACGGG